CGUGAGAGGCACCACAAUUUCACCGCCAUUGUGUGAGUUCUUUCAGCCUCCUGGAACAAGGAAGUGAAGAGUGAUAAAGCAGAGGAGUCUGCUGCUGGACCUGAAAACCAAAUGAAACGUCAUGGAGAACCCACAAGUCCUCCUCCACCUAAAAGAAUGCUGAGCAUGCUGCUACUGUCAGUGAAAAAGGAAGGAGAGGGAGCAUCCCACCCCGGGGGGUCAGCUGUGUCCUUGGAAGAUGGUGAGGGUGCCUGUCCUCAUGUCCCCUUCCUGACUUGACCCUGUGAACCCUGCCUCUGUCUCAUCUACUCCAGAAGAGUAGUUCCUAUUAAGGUCACUGGCUUUGGGUGAGGCUGCCAUUAAUUUCUCAACCACACCAGACCAGGUGUUCACUCUAUCCCUUAUGGAAGUUUUCCUGGAUUCCCAAACUCUGCACUCUACUGGUUUCCUUUUCCUCAUUGAAUUUGCCUUUGUUCUCCUGUCUGAUUUUCUUCUUCUCCUCAUAAUACUGUCAUUGUUCCUGAGUCCCACUGUUCCACUGUCCCUCACUCCACACUGCCUCAUCACUCAGCAAGCUGCUCCAGUAGUUUCUGAGCUUGUGUCCUGCUUUCCCACUUGACCUUGUAGGUUAUUUGUUCCUAUGCACCCAGAGUGACCAUGUCCAUACAGAAAUCAGGUCAUGACAUGCAUAUCCUGAGACCCAUCAUCAACUCCCCGAGCAGUCAGAACAGAGUUGGAGUUCCCAGCGCUGGUCUCCAUGCCCUACACAACCUGGCCCUGCAUGACCUGACCAUGCCAUCUUCUGCUUUCAUGUGUCCUCUCCAUGUCCUUCUUGCUCUCUCUGCCUCUGACAUUUGUUUACCGAUCCAGCUCAUCCCCUUCUAGGGGCUCUGCAUGGCCCUCACAGCAGCUGGAACUCCUCCACAUGGGUGUGCAUAAGCCUGCUCUAACUCCUGCUCCUGCUCCAAGCUCUGCCCAGGGGUCACCUCCUCAGAGCACCCUGCCCGACCUCACAUCAUGGAGGCUUCCCCUCCUGCUCUCAGUCAUAUCCCUGCUGACUUCCUUCCUAACACAAAGUCAACUGUGUUAAUCUUUUGCCUUUUUCACAUGUACCAUCAGCCUUCCCUAUGAGGAUGUAAGUUCCAUGAGGUUUGGGAUUGUCUUUGUCCAUUCUGUCUCUCUGGUUCCCUGCCAAGCUCCAAGUUUUUGCACAUGCCUGGCACAAAGAAGGAUGACUAAAUGCAGUUGAGGUGUCAGACUUGGUGUAGAAAAAAAUUGGCCUCCUGAGACAAAAGACUGAUGAGGAAGAUCAUGUGUUGACUGGGAUUUCUAGUGAUGGAGUGCCAAUAUCAGGCAUCCUGACAUCAAGUGACAUGUUCAUCUCUUCACCUUGUAGAGGGCAAUCAUGAUGACAUGAAGUCAUGAGUGCCAGGGCUCUGUGAAUGUUUGUUAAUUAGUUAUAUUGUCUUACUUUGUUUCUGUGUGUAUGUGUAGUGACAAGAAUAGAAGAGGCUCCUUUGUUGUAUUAUUUUUCCUGAGGUCAAAUUUUUAGGUCUGAUUCUUCUAUCUGGUAUAUUCUCCUGCUAUGAAAAGAAAUAUUAGAGACUGUGAAGCAUGUGGAUGUUCACAUGGGGUUGCUGAAAUGCACAUCAUUGUAGCUCCUCAUUCAGUUAGAUUUCCAGAGGCACCUGUCGUUCACAGUAUGUACGGGGCGGGGAGGGGAAGUGGUCGAUUCCCACCUGAUGGCUUCUGGUCUAAAUCUGAUCUCCAGAGCUUGUGAGUAUGGCAGGAGACGGUAUUCCACACAAUUAGAUUCUUUGUGUCCUGACUUAGCCAGGGUCAACAAGGGUGGGCCGAUUCACGGACCUGGUAGGAAGAAUUCCCAGCUGUCUCUCUGCAGAUGAUCCCAUGGUCACAGCAAUGCCUGUGUCCCAAGAAAUGCCAGAUAAACUGCCAAUACCAGUGGAAAUUAGUGCUGAAAUGAAACAUCAGUUAAAGAAUGAAAUUCGACGAUAUGGACAACAUAAGUAUGAAUAUGAAAAAGUCUUCAAAUUGCUUGAAGGAGUGUAAAGACCUCAAGAAUUGUGGAACAAAUUUUGUUUUAUUGUCUGUCAAAGAAACAGCAAGUUGGGUAUAGAGAGAAGCUCUGUAGCACAGCAAGAUUGAUAUUAUCUGAGUCUUACUCACUCUUCCAAGUUCCAGGAGACUUCUGUUCACACCAUAGUUUGAGAUUUAAAAGACAAGACUGAAUAAGGCACCUGGAGGAGGUACUAGAAAAAUUAGAAUCUGACCACCUUCUCAACAAUGAGAAUCAUACCUCAAACUUAUAAUUCUGUCACCAAGUUAUCAAUAUGUAACCAGAACCAGUUUGCUGUCCUAGAAUGGAAUGGGAUAUUGUUGAUGCCUCCUAGCCCAUGUUAGUUAAGAAUUGUCUACUUGAAGCUAAGAAAAAGCAUCGGAACUUUAAUGUUAUAAAAUUCUGGUACUAAGUUUGCUUUAUCAAUUCAUUUAAAAGGAUAAUUUGUUGUUUGUUUGUUUGUUUUCCCCCUAAAGUGCAGGAAUGCUGUUAAGUCAUUGGUUUAUACUACAUCCUAGCUCCUCAGCAAGUCACAGGCCUUUAGCUGGUAUUUCUAGUAUAUUCCACACUAGCAAUUUCUUUUUUAAAAUUUUAUAUUUUAAGUA
Molecule: long non-coding RNA, 2682 nt
Organism: Lontra canadensis (Northern American river otter)
Lineage: Eukaryota; Metazoa; Chordata; Mammalia; Carnivora; Mustelidae
Exons: 5
Source: RefSeq, a predicted model, not a curated record